AGCAGCCGCGGUAAUUCCAGCUCCAAUAGCGUAUAUUAAAGUUGUUGCAGUUAAAAAGCUCGUAGUUGAAUUUCGGGAUCAGUUCGUCGGUCGUGCCUUUGGUAUGUACUGGUGUUACUGGUUCCUCCCUUCUGACGAACCGUCAUGUCAUUAAUUUGGUGUGGCGGGAAAUUAGGACUGUUACUUUGAAAAAUUAGAGUGUUUAAAGCAGGCUCGCGCUUGAAUACAUUAGCAUGGAAUAAUGAAAUAGGACGUUCGAUCCUAUUUUGUUGGUUUCUAGGAUUGACGUAAUGAUUAAUAGGGAUAGUUGGGGGCAUUAGUAUUCAAUUGUCAGAGGUGAAAUUCUUGGAUUUAUUGAAGACUAACUACUGCGAAAGCAUUUGCCAAGGAUGUUUUCAUUAAUCAAGAACGAAAGUUAGGGGAUCGAAGACGAUCAGAUACCGUCGUAGUCUUAACCCAUAAACUAUAGCCGACUAGGGAUCGGAUGGAUGUUAAUUUUUUAAUGUACUCUAUUCGGCGC
RNAcentral lists this ribosomal RNA (520 nucleotides) under uncultured Glomus. RNAcentral describes it as "SSU rRNA". It matches the Rfam family "Eukaryotic small subunit ribosomal RNA", at positions 569 to 1086 of the family's 1831-position model. The record is from RNAcentral. Lineage: Eukaryota; Fungi; Glomeromycota; Glomeromycetes; Glomerales; Glomeraceae.